This is a long non-coding RNA of Ornithodoros turicata, 550 nucleotides long. RefSeq lists it as uncharacterized. The record is from RefSeq and is a predicted model, not a curated record. The transcript is spliced from 2 exons. NCBI's taxonomy places the organism in Eukaryota, Metazoa, Arthropoda, Arachnida, Ixodida, Argasidae.
UGUCGUGGAAUAUUUAUCUGGGUAAGGAAGGGAGUAGCCUCAGGACAGAAGCAACUCCCUUCCUACAUCUCUACCGGUUCGCUGGAUUUCUACCCAUCUAUAUUUAUCUGGGACUGGCAGCGAAUCUCGUUCAUCAGUGCCAAUCACACACCGUGAAGAUGAAACAGUUGCGAGGCAAGGACUCCGGGAGAGCAACCAAGAUAAUCUCGCCCGGAGAAUUACGUCAGAGAGAGAGCCGCUUCCGUCAUGACUGCGCGCGGCCCGCGAAAGUAACAGCGGCUAAAUAACCGCUGCCACCUCCGAGUUGAGUCGCUCUUUCUGCCCCACUGACCCCACCUGAUGGCGUUUUGGAAGUGUCUCUUGGGUCACGGGGAAUCUAAGUUUAGAGAGGCGGGCGUCCCCGAACGGAGCUGAGCUCUGGUAAGCCGCGUGUUGGCCGUGCGCUACACCGAGGGUAGGUGCGGUGUAUCACACGCGUGCUUACCGGGCGCAUUCAUACGAGCGACAUCCUCACGGAAUAUUCUAGUGAAAGAAAAGAGAGAGAGAGAGA